GACGAACGCUGGCGGCGUGCUUAACACAUGCAAGUCGAACGGAAAGGCCCUGCUUUUGUGGGGUGCUCGAGUGGCGAACGGGUGUGUAACACGUGAGUAACCUGCCCUUGACUUCGGGAUAACUUCAGGAAACUGGGGCUAAUACCGGAUAGGAGCUCCUGCUGCAUGGUGGGGGUUGGAAAGUUUCGGCGGUUGGGGAUGGACUCGCGGCUUAUCAGCUUGUUGGUGGGGUAGUGGCUUACCAAGGCUUUGACGGGUAGCCGGCCUGAGAGGGUGACCGGCCACAUUGGGACUGAGAUACGGCCCAGACUCCUACGGGAGGCAGCAGUGGGGAAUAUUGCACAAUGGGCGGAAGCCUGAUGCAGCAACGCCGCGUGCGGGAUGACGGCCUUCGGGUUGUAAACCGCUUUCGCCUGUGACGAAGCGUGAGUGACGGUAAUGGGUAAAGAAGCACCGGCUAACUACGUG
Molecule: ribosomal RNA, 468 nt
Filed under: uncultured bacterium
Lineage: Bacteria
Description: partial 16S ribosomal RNA
Rfam family: Bacterial small subunit ribosomal RNA
Source: RNAcentral